Molecule: ribosomal RNA, 373 nt
Filed under: uncultured bacterium
Lineage: Bacteria
Description: bacterial SSU rRNA
Rfam family: Bacterial small subunit ribosomal RNA
Source: RNAcentral
AGAAGGCCUUCGGGUUGUAAAGUACUUUCAGCGGGGAGGAAGGUGUUGUGGUUAAUAACCGCAGCAAUUGACGUUACCCGCAGAAGAAGCACCGGCUAACUCCGUGCCAGCAGCCGCGGUAAUACGGAGGGUGCAAGCGUUAAUCGGAAUUACUGGGCGUAAAGCGCACGCAGGCGGUCUGUCAAGUCGGAUGUGAAAUCCCCGGGCUCAACCUGGGAACUGCAUUCGAAACUGGCAGGCUUGAGUCUUGUAGAGGGGGGUAGAAUUCCAGGUGUAGCGGUGAAAUGCGUAGAGAUCUGGAGGAAUACCGGUGGCGAAGGCGGCCCCCUGGACAAAGACUGACGCUCAGGUGCGAAAGCGUGGGGAGCAAACA